Molecule: ribosomal RNA, 253 nt
Filed under: uncultured bacterium
Lineage: Bacteria
Description: partial 16S ribosomal RNA
Rfam family: Bacterial small subunit ribosomal RNA
Source: RNAcentral
UACGAAGGGGGCUAGCGUUGCUCGGAAUGACUGGGCGUAAAGGGCGCGUAGGCGGUUCGGACAGUCAGAUGUGAAAUUCCUGGGCUCAACCUGGGGACUGCAUUUGAUACGUCUGGACUAGAGUGGGGAAGAGGGUCGUGGAAUUUCCAGUGUAGAGGUGAAAUGCGUAGAUAUUGGAAAGAACACCGGUGGCGAAGGCGGCGACCUGGUCCUUGACUGACGCUGAGGCGCGAAAGCGUGGGGAGCAAACAGG